Molecule: long non-coding RNA, 830 nt
Organism: Branchiostoma floridae (Florida lancelet)
Lineage: Eukaryota; Metazoa; Chordata; Leptocardii; Amphioxiformes; Branchiostomatidae
Exons: 3
Source: RefSeq, a predicted model, not a curated record
AUUACGAUCAUUGUUUUCUGUGAUUUAUUGGUUGGUAUACAGCUGACCCAGCGGAGGGAUAUGGAUGUACAUGUAUAUCAGAAAAGACAACCGCCGAACUUAUCAGUUGGAGACGAAACGCGGCUCGAAGAGGUCAUGGCUUCGGUAGAAGUCAGAUCAAACCGCCGUGGUCUCCAGGGCUCCAUCGACUGCCUUGCUGAUGGCAGGACUUAACCGACUAAUGAUACAUACAGGACACGAGUGACAACGUCGAGGUGUUCCGCCACAACUUGCACAGGGACUCCUACCACGACAGGGAAAAUCAGUCGAGUCCUUCCACUGCAAGUCGGUGAGACGAGCUGCAUCACUGAAGGAGCCGGAAUAGACGUCCGUGUGCCUUAUAAAGUCGGGAAGGAGGGGAGCCACACAUCACCCAGAACAGCACCGUCGACAUGAGGAAGACAACGAGAGGAGAGUGCCAGACCAGUAGCAGAUCUAGAAUAGCCAAUCGAUUGCGCUGCUACAACCAUAGUGAACCUAAAACUAGUUAGAGAAUUCACGGACUGGUUUUGAGGUGAUUUAUACCAUUACUAUGCAUUUAGUGUACCGGGUAUAAAUUGCAGUAGUAGUUGAGUGUGCAUGUAAAUCAAAGAACCGCACAUAAGGUUAACCUCAGCGACGACGGACCGAAUCAAACCGGAGAUGGAUGUAGUUAAGGAGAGAACGGCCAUAGAAAUGUUCAUUACAAUUAUUCUGUAUCCAACCUGUGACCGAAGUUAGCGGGGUCAGCAUUAUGUAGUAACGUCAAAACACUUUAACAGUGUCCCGUGCCAAGUGUACGGAAAACCUUG